GAUGAACGCUAGCUACAGGCUUAACACAUGCAAGUCGAGGGGUCUCGAGAGGGCUUGCUCUUGAGAGACGACCGGCGCACGGGUGAGUAACGCGUAUCCAACCUGCCCUUCAUAUUGGGAUAGCCUCUCGAAAGGGAGAUUAAUACCGAAUAACAUAGUUAGUUGCCUGACCAGACUAUGAAAGCUCCGGCGAUGAAGGAUGGGGAUGCGUUCCAUUAGGUAGUAGGCGGGGUAACGGCCACCUAGCCGACGAUGGAUAGGGGUUCUGAGAGGAAGGUCCCCCACACUGGAACUGAGACACGGUCCAGACUCCUACGGGAGGCAGCAGUGAGGAAUAUUGGUCAAUGGGCGCAAGCCUGAACCAGCCAAGUAGCGUGAAGGAUGACUGCCCUAUGGGUUGUAAACUUCUUUUAUACGGGAACAAAUGUUGCUACGUGUAGUAAUUUGCGUGUACCGUACGAAUAAGCAUCGGCUAACUCCGUG
This 483-nucleotide ribosomal RNA is filed under the name uncultured bacterium. Its description in RNAcentral is "bacterial SSU rRNA". It matches the Rfam family "Bacterial small subunit ribosomal RNA", at positions 28 to 507 of the family's 1533-position model. The record is from RNAcentral.